AGGAGAGGAGGUACGAGGCAUUAUGGGUAGCUCAAAGCUGUGAACCUGCACGUGUCGGGCUCUAGCUGAGAGGAAGGACGCUGAGCUCGAUUUGAAAGCAUGUUUGUUCUCUUCUCUGCAAAUCUACACAUUUUCUCCACAUCCUUGUUUACCGGGAGAGACGAGGCUUCAUAAGCUCUGUCUGCCAAGCAGCUUCUACAUACACAAGAUAUUUUGUUUGUCCACUGGGUUAACCACAUUCUCGCCGACGAACAAGAAUAUCGCCUUACUCGGUAUCUCAUGUCGAAUUAUGACUUGGCCGUCCGUCCUUCCCAUAACGCCUCACUUCCUCUCCGUAUGACCUUUGACCUAUCUCUUCAUCAAGUGAUUGAUGUGGAUGAGAGAAGACACAUACUUACCACAAGUUGCUGGAUAACACAGAAAUGGACAGAUUACUACCCG
Long non-coding RNA from Limulus polyphemus (Atlantic horseshoe crab), 441 nucleotides. RefSeq lists it as uncharacterized. The transcript is spliced from 4 exons. NCBI's taxonomy places the organism in Eukaryota, Metazoa, Arthropoda, Merostomata, Xiphosura, Limulidae. The record is from RefSeq and is a predicted model, not a curated record.